CGGUAAUUCCAGCUCCAAUAGCGUAUAUUAAACUUGUUGCAGUUAAAAAGCUCGUAGUUGAAUUUUUGCUGCAUCGUGGUUCUUCGCUAUGUCGAGUGGGCCUCGUUGUGGCUUAGUUGGGGCAUGUUUUCAUGACUCGACGUUUACUUUGAGAAAAUUAGAGUGCUUCAAGCAGGCUUUUGCCUUGAAUACUUUAGCAUGGAAUAAUGGAGUAGGACUUUGGUUCUAUUUUGUUGGUUUUAGGAGCCGGAGUAAUGGUUAAUAGGAACAGUUGGGGGCAUUCGUAUUUGACUGUCAGAGGUGAAAUUCUUAGAUUUGUCAAAGACGAACUACUGCGAAAGCAUUUGCCAAGGAUGUUUUCAUUAAUCAAGAACGAAAGUUAGGGGAUCGAAAACGAUCAGAUACCGUCGUAGUCCUAACCAUAAACGAUGCCGACUAGAGAUUGGAGGUCGUCAGUU
This 458-nucleotide ribosomal RNA is filed under the name Theileria equi. Its description in RNAcentral is "SSU rRNA". It matches the Rfam family "Eukaryotic small subunit ribosomal RNA", at positions 577 to 1068 of the family's 1831-position model. The record is from RNAcentral. Lineage: Eukaryota; Apicomplexa; Aconoidasida; Piroplasmida; Theileriidae.